UACGUAGGGGGCAAGCGUUGUCCGGAUUUAUUGGGCGUAAAGAGCGUGUAGGCGGCCAGGUAGGUCCGUUGUGAAAACUGGAGGCUUAACCUCCAGCUGUCGAUGGAAACCAUCUGGCUAGAGUCCGGAAGAGGAGAGUGGAAUUCCUGGUGUAGCGGUGAAAUGCGCAGAUAUCAGGAAGAACACCCGUGGCGAAGGCGGCUCUCUGGGACGGUACUGACGCUGAGACGCGAAAGCGUGGGGAGCGAACAGG
RNAcentral lists this ribosomal RNA (253 nucleotides) under uncultured bacterium. Its description in RNAcentral is "partial 16S ribosomal RNA". It matches the Rfam family "Bacterial small subunit ribosomal RNA", at positions 524 to 776 of the family's 1533-position model. The record is from RNAcentral.